AUUGAACGCUGGCGGCAGGCCUAACACAUGCAAGUCGAACGAGUGGCGGACGGGUGAGUAAUGUCUGGGCCACUGCCUGAUGGAGGGGGUUAACUACUGGAAACGGUAGCUAAUAACGCAUACCAUCGGAUGUGCCCAGAUGGGAUUAGAUAGUGGGUGGGGUAAAGGCUCACCUAGGCGACGAUCCCUAGCUGGUCUGAGAGGAUGACCAGCCACACUGGAACUGAGACACGGUCCAGACUCCUACGGGAGGCAGCAGUGGGGAAUAUUGCACAAUGGGCGCAAGCCUGAUGCAGCCAUGCCGCGUGUGUGAAGAAGGCCUUCGGAUUGUAAAGUACUUUCAGCGGGGAGGCGUUACCCGCAGAAGAAGCACCGGCUAACUCCGUGCCAGCAGCCGCGGUAAUUC
This 406-nucleotide ribosomal RNA is filed under the name uncultured bacterium. RNAcentral's name for it is "partial 16S ribosomal RNA". It matches the Rfam family "Bacterial small subunit ribosomal RNA", at positions 30 to 526 of the family's 1533-position model. The record is from RNAcentral.